Molecule: ribosomal RNA, 1346 nt
Filed under: uncultured bacterium
Lineage: Bacteria
Description: partial 16S ribosomal RNA
Rfam family: Bacterial small subunit ribosomal RNA
Source: RNAcentral
GACGAACGCUGGCGGCGUGCUUAACACAUGCAAGUCGAACGGAAAGGCCCUGCUUUUGUGGGGUGCUCGAGUGGCGAACGGGUGAGUAACACGUGAGUAACCUGCCCUUGACUUUGGGAUAACUUCAGGAAACUGGGGCUAAUACCGGAUAGGAGCUCCUGCUGCAUGGUGGGGGUUGGAAAGUUUCGGCGGUUGGGGAUGGACUCGCGGCUUAUCAGCUUGUUGGUGGGGUAGUGGCUUACCAAGGCUUUGACGGGUAGCCGGCCUGAGAGGGUGACCGGCCACAUUGGGACUGGGAUACGGCCCAGACUCCUACGGGAGGCAGCAGUGGGGAAUAUUGCACAAUGGGCGGAAGCCUGAUGCAGCAACGCCGCGUGCGGGAUGACGGCCUUCGGGUUGUAAACCGCUUUCGCCUGUGACGAAGCGUGAGUAACGGUAAUGGGUAAAGAAGCACCGGCUAACUACGUGCCAGCAGCCGCGGUGAUACGUAGGGUGCGAGCGUUGUCCGGAUUUAUUGGGCGUAAAGGGCUCGUAGGUGGUUGAUCGCGUCGGAAGUGUAAUCUUGGGGCUUAACCCUGAGCGUGCUUUCGAUACGGGUUGACUUGAGGAAGGUAGGGGAGAAUGGAAUUCCUGGUGGAGCGGUGGAAUGCGCAGAUAUCAGGAGGAACACCAGUGGCGAAGGCGGUUCUCUGGGCCUUUCCUGACGCUGAGGAGCGAAAGCGUGGGGAGCGAACAGGCUUAGAUACCCUGGUAGUCCACGCUGUAAACGGUGGGUACUAGGUGUGGGGUCCAUUCCACGGGUUCCGUGCCGUAGCUAACGCUUUAAGUACCCCGCCUGGGGAGUACGGCCGCAAGGCUAAAACUCAAAGGAAUUGACGGGGCCCCGCACAAGCGGCGGAGCAUGCGGAUUAAUUCGAUGCAACGCGUAGAACCUUACCUGGGUUUGACAUGGAUCGGGAGUGCUCAGAGAUGGGUGUGCCUCUUUUGGGGUCGGUUCACAGGUGGUGCUUGGCUGUCGUCAGCUCGUGUCGUGAGAUGUUGGGUUAAGUCCCGCAACGAGCGCAACCCUUGUUCACUGUUGCCAGCACGUUAUGGUGGGGACUCAGUGGAGACCGCCGGGGUCAACUCGGAGGAAGGUGGGGAUGACGUCAAGUCAUCAUGCCCCUUAUGUCCAGGGCUUCACGCAUGCUACAAUGGCUGGUACAGAGAGUGGCGAGCCUGUGAGGGUGAGCGAAUCUCGGAAAGCCGGUCUCAGUUCGGAUUGGGGUCUGCAACUCGACCUCAUGAAGUCGGAGUCGCUAGUAAUCGCAGAUCAGCAACGCUGCGGUGAAUACGUUCCCGGGGCU